GAUGAAAUGCCUGAAAAAGGAUUAUUUUGAUAGAAUAAAUCAUGUAUAUUCACUGUACCUUCAUUG
RNAcentral lists this transfer RNA (66 nucleotides) under Nesophrosyne sp. 295 GMB-2012. Its description in RNAcentral is "tRNA-Ile". The record is from RNAcentral. Lineage: Eukaryota; Metazoa; Arthropoda; Insecta; Hemiptera; Cicadellidae.